Molecule: ribosomal RNA, 258 nt
Filed under: uncultured Glomus
Lineage: Eukaryota; Fungi; Glomeromycota; Glomeromycetes; Glomerales; Glomeraceae
Description: partial 18S ribosomal RNA
Rfam family: Eukaryotic small subunit ribosomal RNA
Source: RNAcentral
AAGCUCGUAGUUGAAUUUCGGGGUUAGUAGGUUGGUCAUGCCUCUGGUAUGUACUGGUCUCACUGAUUCCUCCUUCCUUAUGAAUCGUAAUGCCAUUAAUUUGGUGUCGCGGGGAAUUUGGACUGUUACUUUGAAAAAAUUAGAGUGUUUAAAGCAAGCUAACGCUUGAAUACAUCAGCAUGGAAUAAUGAAAUAGGACGUUCGAUCUUAUUUUGUUGGUUUCUAGGAUUGACGUAAUGAUUAAUAGGGAUAGUUGGG